CAAUAGCGUAUAUUAACGUUGUUGCAGUUAAAAAGCUCGUAGUUGGAUUUCUGGAGGGAGCGUCGGCCCGUAUUUACGAGUGCGUGACGUCUCUGUCCAUCCUUGCGGGACGGCACGGCAUUGAUUUGUUGUGUCGGAUCGCAUCAUUUACUGUGAAAAAAUUAGAGUGUUCAAAGCAGGCUUUCGCUUGAAUACAUUAGCAUGGAAUAAUAAGAUAGGACUUUGGUGCUAUUUUGUUGGUUGAGCCUAAAGUAAUGAUUAAUAGGGAUAGUUGGGGGCACCUGUAUUGCGUUGUCAGAGGUGAAAUUCUUGGAUUUACGCAAGACAAACAGCUGCGAAAGCGUCUGCCAAGGAUGUUUUCAUUAA
This 366-nucleotide ribosomal RNA is filed under the name uncultured eukaryote. RNAcentral describes it as "partial 18S ribosomal RNA". It matches the Rfam family "Eukaryotic small subunit ribosomal RNA", at positions 592 to 976 of the family's 1831-position model. The record is from RNAcentral.